Molecule: long non-coding RNA, 4563 nt
Organism: Pelmatolapia mariae (spotted tilapia)
Lineage: Eukaryota; Metazoa; Chordata; Actinopteri; Cichliformes; Cichlidae
Exons: 3
Source: RefSeq, a predicted model, not a curated record
UUUACUGCUGUGAUCACUCAGUGUCUGAUGUCAGUUGUUGGCGUGUCCUUGUCAUAAAUUCUAUUUUUUGUCUAUUUUUAAUCACGCUGGUCUCUUUGUGAUCAUUUUGCAGAAACCUUUUGUUCUUUACAGUUGUUUGUGUUUUGUGUGUUCAGCUGGGUCUAUUUUUUUUUUUUUUUUUGUUUGUAUCUUUGAUCACAACAACACGUUUUCGGUCUUUUACCGUGGAAGUCUAUGGGGCUGACUCGCUGCUGCCUCUGCUGGACGUCAGAGGAAUUGCAGAUUGUGGCACUUCCGCGUUGGCUUAGAGAUUUCCGCGGAGUGAUCCUUCUUCCUCCAUCAGGAUCUCCACAGCCUUCACUCCGCCGACACGUCGAUCGGGAUUCUCUGCCUGGAAACACCGCAAACUAAUCGGAACCGGCGGCCGACACAGACGGAGCGGUCUCGCGGGCUUCGUGGGGGUCGAUUAGGCGGGACUCUUUUUCAUGACUAAAGAUGGGAAGUGAUCAGAGCCACGAGAGGAAGGCUGAGGAGACUGAGAAGGAAAGUGAAAAACAUGAGCAGUGUGACAAAACUGAGGACGCGACUCCUGAAGAGGUGCCAGGAGAGCUGCCCCAGUGCAGGAUGGGAAACAGGAGGGUGGACAACAUGUGUUUCAUGAUCUCGUGCACUAACUGGUACUGAACUGGUCCCCGUGUGUUGGGCUCAUGAUGAAACAGACACACAUCUGUCUGCGUCUGUGCUGCUACAACAACAAAUGCACCGGACUUCACUUUCCUUACAUUCAAAACCAAGACUAAUGAUAAGAGGAAGGGAUGGAAAAAGGAUUUCAAACGAUGGGUCACAAGAUUCGUGGACUGUGUGGGAGAUGCUUGGAUUUCUGGUCAUGCCAAUAAAGACUGAGCAAAAGUAAAGAAGUGUUGCUCGUCAUGCUCUGUGGGUUCAGACAGCUGUGUGAAAACGAUCAAAGAGAAGCGAGAGCUGAACAAAGGUUGCUCACUUCAGUUGUUGAUGUUCAGACAGAAUUACACUGGAAAGGAAACGAAAGGAGGAUGGAAGAGGGAAAGGAAGGAAAGAAGGAGAUUGGGAAAGGGAAGGAAGUAAGGAAAGGAGAAGGAAGCAAAAAAAGGAAGAAAGCUGACAACGGAAGGAAAGGAAGGAGGAAACAUGAAAGAAGAAAGGGGGUUAGGGAAGAGGCAGGAAGGAAGGGAAAAUGGAUGACAGAAAGAGAGGAAAGUAAGGAUGAAAGGAAAGGAAAUGAGAGUACCUAAGGAAGGAAUGAAACAGGAAGAAGAAGACUAAGAAGGAAAGGGAACAAAGGAAGGAAAGGAAGAUGAAAUAAGGAUAGCAACGGAGAAGUAAGGAAUGAGACCAGAAAGGGCAAAUGAAUUAAGGAGUUAAGGAGGAAAGGGAAAAUCAAAGAAGGGAGCAAAUAUGAAAGGAAGUAAAGAAGAAAAAGGAAAGAAGGAAGAAAAGAAGUGGUUUUGGUAAAAAGGAGACCUUUGGGUCUAAUUUGUUUCACUCAGAGCUGUAAAAAUCCAAACACACUGCAGCGUGUUCAGAGUUCAGCAGGAACGACAUUAAUCAGCAGACCUAAAGAAGUUUCAGUUUAAGACGUGAUGGAUUCAUCAGGAUUAUCAUUAUUCAAGUCUGUGAUAAGAUUAAUGCUGCAUAUCUGACACUUACUGUCUCAUAAUUAUGAGAAAGUCUUCAGGUGGUUAUAAAUCAUCUGUGCUUGAGAGGACGGGGCGACGGCGCUGAAUGAUUUAAGUUUAAUGAAUAUGAGCUCGGGUUUUAACACAAGUGGCUCCUUUUUCUUUUUUUCAACAAAGUCGUUCGGAGAAUGUCACAAAAGCCCCAACUGGUGCGAACAGACGGGGAAUUUUACAAGAAACAAGAAGGAUGACGUCCCAGCCGGAGACAACACGAGCCUCAGUUUGGUUAUUAUAUCAGAUAUUACAGCUCGACUGAAAAACUCAGACAACUCCUGUUCCUGCAAUAGUAAAGGAAAAAAAGGAGGAAAUAAUAAGGAAGAAAAGAGGGAAAAAAGGAAAGAGCGGAAGGAAGAAAAGGAAUGACAGAAGUAGAAAGGAAGGAAAUAUGAAAAGGAAAGGCUAUGAAGAAGUUGAAAAGGGAACAACAAAUGGAAAGGAACAAAUGAUAAAGGAAAGGAAGCAAGGAAUUAAGAAUCAGUGAUGGAAAUAAAGAAGUAUGGAAGGAAAGGAGGAAAGAAUAAAGGAUGAAGGAAAGACAGGAGAGAAGAUGAUGGAAAGGGAGGAAGAAAAGGAAACGAAUGAACAAACUUAAACUGUAGUUCCUCCUGUGACCACUUGAGGCUCCAGCAGUGACUCAGUGCCUGUAAACGCUCUGCGGUAUCUAUGGAUCGAUUCCUCCUUCCUAACACCUGUACGGGGUUUAGAGGCUUUGUUAUAACCCACCCAGCUGAUGGGUCCUGUCUGUGUCAGAAAGCAGGAAUCAGGACUAGAAGAUAAGCCUGGUAUUAAAAUGUACGAGUCCUUUCAUAUGCUUUUACUCGUUCUGAGCAGCCGCCUACAGUGUCUCACAUGGUGGUAGAACUUUUAAAGUUUACCCAGAAUGCACUUUUUUGGUUUCCUGUGCUGAACUAUCAGAAAUCAGAUCAAUAACGUAGCAACGCUUGCUUCUGUUUCUCUACAUCACAGACAUUACAACAGGAAGACGCCCUUUUCAUGUGUCACGGUUCUGGUACAAAUAACAGAAAUGGGAAUUUUGCACAAAUAUAAGCUAACAAUAACUUUGAUAAUGUUCGCUCAUGUCUCAUGUUGGGCAGACUUACUCACUACUUCCUCUUGUGGUCCAAAAUGGUUUUACACGAGAGAAUCCUGGUGCUGUUUUAACUUUGGGGAUCUGUUUUAGACAGAACAUCAUGGAUGUUGCUUCUUCACGUUCUCCUGAUGGGUUCAGUUAAUUUUACAAUUAAAGAAACAUCUUUUCAUUUGACCUUCAAGAUGAGAAAAAUAGCAGCUGUUCAGUGAGGCAGGAGGACAGAGUGUAAGUCUUUCCAUAGCAGAGUGUGGACGUGUGUCCUUGUGAGACAUUAGCAGGUCGACUCCUCAAAAACCUCCGAGGGGAACCCUUAACUUGCUAAAUGGUGAUGCACUGACCCAUUUCGAGCAAUUACAGUGUCAGCCAUAAAACGUAUGAAGUCAAAAGCAUGUGAACUGACCCAAUGAUCCAUUUGGACGUAAUAAAAGAAGUCAAAUUUUCUCCAAAUGACGCAUUAAAUCUCCAUGAAAUUAAAACGGAGUUAGAAGGCAUCAGUGUGUCUGAGCUAGUCUGCUCCGUCCCAUUACUGGGCAGGUGGCUGAACAUAUUGCAUUUCAUCAGAAGAGCAGCAUACGUGUCCCUAAAGGGGCAUUUCUGCAAAAUACCACAAGGCAGAUUUAUGAUGCACAUCUGUUAGAUUUUUUCUGCUCAUCAUGUUGCAGAUGCUCCGGAGCAGUUAACAAACCUGCGAAAAAUUCAUCCACUAUCAGGACUAUUAAAAAAUGAAAUGUGCACUUUUUAGAUUAAUGCAUGUACAGAAAAGUGAUGUAAACACAGCAAAAAUGCUUGUUUUCCUUUUUAGAUCAAUAAAAAUAUGUCUGUUAUGCAGCAGCUGUCUGACACAGUCGUGAUGAAGCAGGGAAACGGCAUUAAAGCGAACGCAGAAAGAUCAAAAGUUAGAUUAACAACGUUCCUGAUAUACAGAAGGAAAAGGAGCACAGCUUUUGAAAAAUUUUAAAUGAUGCCCUCAAACAGCCUGCAGGGCAGAGACACAGAAGUGUUGGUUAGUCAGAAAUGUAACCACGUUGACGGGAAACUCGGGCGUCCAAAAAUCAGUUCAUUUCAGUUCAACUCAGACAACCAUUAUCUUUAUAAUGUGCUUUAUAGAGCAAAAAGCUCACAACAUCAGAGAGACAACCCCAACAAUCACACAAUCCCCCAAUGGUGACAGCUGGGAGGAAGAACUCCCUUUUAACAGGAAGUGACCUCAUGCAGAAGCAGGGUUCAUGGGUUUCAAACGUAACUCUGGGCCCAUCAGAGAUGUAAUCCAUGACUCAUGACGAGUUAUUGAUCUGCAAAAAAAGUAAAAGACUCGUCUUAGACAAUGAAGUUUUCACUUUUAUUGACAGUUCAUUGUUAACAGAACAGGUGUUAUUGGUAUAUGACCAGCGUGGACAAUAAAACCAAAGCAAACAUAGAAAAAAAAAGAAACAAACAUCUCUGCUCCAGUCAAGUGUUUAAAUAAGAAAACCGCAAUUAUAAUUUUCUCGAGUCAUUAACGUAAACAUGCCUAUCCGAUAUAAGCAUCGUCAUAAAAAUGGUAUAACAUCGUGUGCAAAGGAUGAUGAGGUUCAUCUUAAAUAAGAGAGAAAUAAAGAUAGAAAACGUUCUAUUUACAGGAUGUCCGACUGGAACAUGAGAAAAAACAAACUGUGCUUUAGUUCGCUUGUAAAGAAGUGAGCCAAGGUCCGAUUUUUUUCAUUUUAAUUUUAUAAUCAACCCAUUUAGUCAUAAAAACCCAAAAAUCCAAAGAAAAAC